UACGUAGGGGGCGAGCGUUGUCCGGAAUUAUUGGGCGUAAAGAGCUUGUAGGCGGUUUGUCGCGUCUGCUGUGAAAUCUCAAGGCUCAACCUUGAGCUUGCAGUGGGUACGGGCAGACUAGAGUGUGGUAGGGGAGACUGGAAUUCCUGGUGUAGCGGUGAAAUGCGCAGAUAUCAGGAGGAACACCGAUGGCGAAGGCAGGUCUCUGGGCCACUACUGACGCUGAGAAGCGAAAGCAUGGGGAGCGAACAGG
This 253-nucleotide ribosomal RNA is filed under the name uncultured bacterium. RNAcentral's name for it is "partial 16S ribosomal RNA". It matches the Rfam family "Bacterial small subunit ribosomal RNA", at positions 524 to 776 of the family's 1533-position model. The record is from RNAcentral.